AGAGUUUGAUCAUGGCUCAGAGCGAACGCUGGCGGUAUGCUUAACACAUGCAAGUCGAGCGAGAAAAUGACUUCGGUCAUGAGUACAGCGGCGGACGGGUGAGUAAUACAUGGAUAAUCUGCCUUUAGGACCGGGACAACCCAGGGAAACUUGAGCUAAUACCGGAUAAGACCACAGAAUCUCCGGAUUCAGUGGUAAAAGGUGGCUUCGGCUAUCACCUAGAGAUGAGUCCAUGUCCCAUCAGGUAGUUGGUGAGGUAACGGCUCACAAAGCCUAAGACGGGUAGCCGACCUUAGCGGGUGAUCGGCCACACGGGGACUGAGACACGGCCCCGACUCCUACGGGAGGCAGCAGUGGGGAAUAUUGGACAAUGGGCGCAAGCCUGAUCCAGCAAUACCGCGUGAGGGAUGAAGGCUUUCGAGUCGUAAACCUCUGUCAGUUGGAACGAUGGGUCUAAAGGUUAAUACCCUUUAGACUUGACGGUACCUUCAAAGGAAGCCCCGGCUAACUCCGUGCCAGCAGCCGCGGUAAUACGGAGGGGGCAAGCGUUGCUCGGAAUUACUGGGCGUAAAGGGUCCGCAGGUGGCUUUGUAAGUUAGAUGUGAAAUCUCAGGGCUCAACCCUGAAACUGCAUCUAAUACUGCUUAGCUUGAGUACAGGAGAGGUUGGCGGAAUUCCCGGUGUAGCGGUGAAAUGCGCAGAUAUCGGGAGGAACACCAGUGGCGAAGGCGGCCAACUGGCCUGUUACUGACACUCAGGGACGAAAGCGUGGGGAGCGAACGGGAUUAGAUACCCCGGUAGUCCACGCCCUAAACGAUGAAUGCUAGGUGUAGGGAUGAAAAUCUCUGUGCCGUAGUUAACGCAUUAAGCAUCCCGCCUGGGGAGUACGAUCGCAAGAUUUAAACUCAAAGGAAUUGGCGGGGGCCCGCACAAGCGGUGGAGCAUGUGGUUUUAAUUC
This 958-nucleotide ribosomal RNA is filed under the name uncultured bacterium. RNAcentral describes it as "bacterial SSU rRNA". It matches the Rfam family "Bacterial small subunit ribosomal RNA", at positions 8 to 952 of the family's 1533-position model. The record is from RNAcentral.